This 2004-nucleotide long non-coding RNA is filed under the name Lactuca sativa (garden lettuce). RNAcentral describes it as "long non-coding RNA (LSAT_LNC006763)". Lineage: Eukaryota; Viridiplantae; Streptophyta; Magnoliopsida; Asterales; Asteraceae. The record is from RNAcentral.
CUACAUCGUCUCUUCAAAUGGCUGCUGAACAGGUGAACAUGAUUUUAAGCGAGUCUAAGAGUGAUGAGAUGGCUUCAGAAGGCGCCUCGAUAUCCACCUCCACCUGCCAUAUUGAUCUGUGGAAGUAAUUAAUCAAAACAGAACUUUAAUUGAACUCCUUGUUCAACAAGGAAAAAAAAUGAGGCAUAUAUUAUAGUGACUAAAGUGUAUGUACUAAUAUAUCAAAGUAUCAAACUGUUGAUCUAGUUGUUGUACAUAAUAAUUCUAAUAUCGGUCAUCAAAUUUGUUGUGCUAAGCUAUACAAUAUGUAUUAUCUUGAUUUUAAUAAUUUGGUAUUCGUUAUAAAUACGAUCGUUUGUUCAAAUUGAUAUAUAUUGCUAAUGCAUUUUUCCUGAUCAUCAUUGUAUACGUGGUUUUGUUGCUUAAUCAUUCAUUGCCUUGUAUGCACAUGCGAAUGUUUAAUAAAAAUCUAAUAUUUUGUAGCGUAUAUAACGAAAAUUUAUAAACGUAUUUAUAUAAUAUGCAUGCAUUGGAAAAUUUUGUAGUGAUAAUACAAUAUUCAAAAUUUUGUAGUGUAAAUAAUGAAAAUUAAGUCCUGGAUAUGUUUAUACUAUAAGUACGUAUAACCAUAGAUUAAGUUGCUAGAUUAAUGUUCUUAAUAAUAUAAAAACAUCCGAACAAAGUACCUGCAUAACAAAUUUAUGGACGGAAAACUUCAAUUCACCUACAGCGCAAUAACUAACAAGCUUUUUGAUUUUACGGGAUAUAUAGCUGAUGGAAAGAAAAAAUAGCGUAUCCGAAAAAUUAGUAGCACUAUCAAUCAGUAGUGUGCAUAGGUGUGGUAGCUAGUGUAUGACAAAUAAUUUUGCAAAAGAAGUUUAUGACAUGAUGCAUGCUUGGGGGGAUGCUGAAAUGAACCUGGUAAUCGGAGUAUAUGUCAAUUAACAUGAAAACCAUGCAUGUAACUCCCUCUCAAAACGUGCAAUAUAAUUCUCUUCUGUUAUACAAAGUUUUCUACAUAAAUAAGGUUCACACUAUACUGCCUUCAAAGGUAUACUUUAAAUAUAUAUAUUUUUUUCGGGCAGAUUUACCAAAGGAUUCAUGGCAUACCAUGAGAUUAAAAAGGAAAAUUGAUAUAAAAAUUGAAAUUAAGAGAGAGAGAGAGAGAGAGAGAGAGAGAGAGAGAGAGAGAGAGAGAGAGAGUGUAAUUAGCUCUACAAACAUAGAUGGAGACCUUUGGCUCAUUGUUUUGUAAUAAAAGGAAACCGCUUAAUUAUCACUCUAGAUAGGAUCCCUAUGGAAUUGAAACAAGAGGCCAAAUUUCCGUAUAAUAAUUGCCAAACAACAUAAUAUCAUUUAGUAUGGGCAAACAUAGUUGUGUAAAAUCAAAUAGAGAUAAAAGCAUGAUUGGUGAAGAAGGUACGUCGAACCAGACACUGAAUGGUUUGCUUAUUUUCGCUGGUUAGUAUGUUAAUCAAGGGAUCAUGACAAGUUUAACAUACACUAAUGGCAUAAAAGCAAAAAAGAACAGGAUAAAAAGUUGCUUGUUAUGGACAAUUUCUCUAUAAAGUCCACAGUCCAUCAACUUGUCAAAAUUAGCACAAAUGAAUCUCGAAAUGUAAAGCCUUUCAUGCAUGGAAACCCUGUGAUCCGUUUAAAUGUUGAACGAAAGUUAAGAAAUUAAAAUCUACGCAAACUACCCAAAAAUAACAAUAAAGAACUAUAAAUUUUGAGACAAGAUCCUAAAAAGGGAAACAGUAUUACGGUAUGCAUGUUUGGCUUUAUGGGAAAAAAUGUAGGACUUACCAUGAAUUCGAGGACUCCCACUUAUAACCGAAGAAUUCACUGAAGCAAUCUAAGAGAGAAUAUCUAUAUAUUACGAGGUUUGUAUUCUGAAUCUGAUAAUGAAGUUUGAGGGAAUUCAGGUGGGAUCUUGAGAUCUUCUCCAUCUAUAAAAUAUUGAGAAAAAGAAAAGACAAGUAAUGGCAUGAGUCGAUGAUUCUG